RNAcentral lists this ribosomal RNA (731 nucleotides) under uncultured fungus. RNAcentral's name for it is "eukaryotic LSU rRNA". The stretch from base 383 to 533 matches the Rfam family "5.8S ribosomal RNA". The record is from RNAcentral. Lineage: Eukaryota; Fungi.
CUUGGUCAUUUAGAGAAGUAAAAGUCGUAACAAGGUUUCCUUCACCUAUWGAAGCCUUCAGCAGGACUGUAAAGAAAUGCGUAGUUUGCUUGCAAGCAAUGCCACUCAAAUGCGAGACAUCUGAAUCAGCAGCCUUCUAGGCUCACAGAUCAAAUUGUGGUACCAUUCUUAUGGGCAAGAUAUGACCGGUCUUAACUAGAGUUAGUUAAGAUCCACGUUCCGUAGGUGAACCUGCGGAAGGAUCAUUAAAGGUUUCGGGUCCCAGUGCCCAAACUUCAACCCUAUGUUUUAACUAUACAUGUUUCUUUGCGGUUUCGGCCGGCAGAAGUUUUCUCAAACUCAUUAUUAAAUGUGUCUUSUGAAUCAAAAUUAAAUAAAUUAAAACUUUCAACAACGGAUCUCUUGGUUYGGCAUCGAUGAAGAACGCAGCGAAAUGCGAUAGGUAAUGUGAAUUGCAAAUUCAGUGAAUCAUCGAAUCUUUGAACGCAUAUUGCGCCCUUUGGCAUCCGAAGGGCAUACCUGUUCSAGCGUCAUUACACCCCUCAAAGAUAACUCUUGGCGUUGGGCAAUGCCUAAAGGCAUGCCUCAAAAUCAGCGAUGGUGAAUUCAACCACAGGCGCACAAAUGUCGUCUAGCUGGCGGGAUGUUGUCAGCAAUUGAUGAAUUUCUAAAUGUUGACCUCGGAUCAGGUAGGAAUACCCGUGAACUUAAGCAUAWMAAUAAGCGGAGGA